CCUGGGGAGUACGCCGGCAACGGUGAAACUCAAAGGAAUUGACGGGGGCCCGCACAAGCGGAGGAACAUGUGGUUUAAUUCGAUGAUACGCGAGGAACCUUACCCGGGAUUGAAAUGUAGAUGACGGAUGGUGAAAACCGUCUUCCCUUCGGGGCGUCUAUGUAGGUGCUGCAUGGUUGUCGUCAGCUCGUGCCGUGAGGUGUCGGCUUAAGUGCCAUAACGAGCGCAACCCACAUCGGUAGUUGCUAACAGUUUUCGCUGAGGACUCUACCGAGACUGCCGUCGUAAGGCGUGAGGAAGGUGUGGAUGACGUCAAAUCAGCACGGCCCUUACAUCCGGGGCGACACACGUGUUACAAUGGGAGGGACAAAGGGCAGCUACCAGGCGACCGGAUGCGAAUCUCUAAACCCUUCCCCAGUUCGGAUCGGAGUCUGCAACUCGACUCCGUGAAGCUGGAUUCGCUAGUAAUCGCGCAUCAGCCAUGGUGCGGUGAAUACGUUCCCGGGCCUUGUACACACCGCCCGUCAAGCCAUGGGAGUCGGGGGUACCUGAAGGGCGUAACCGCAAGGGGCGCACUAGGGUAAUUCCGGUGACUGGGGCUAAGUCGUAACAAGGUAGCCG
This 621-nucleotide ribosomal RNA is filed under the name uncultured bacterium. Its description in RNAcentral is "bacterial SSU rRNA". It matches the Rfam family "Bacterial small subunit ribosomal RNA", at positions 872 to 1502 of the family's 1533-position model. The record is from RNAcentral.